RNAcentral lists this ribosomal RNA (253 nucleotides) under uncultured bacterium. RNAcentral describes it as "partial 16S ribosomal RNA". It matches the Rfam family "Bacterial small subunit ribosomal RNA", at positions 524 to 776 of the family's 1533-position model. The record is from RNAcentral.
UACGUAGGGUGCAAGCGUUGUCCGGAAUUAUUGGGCGUAAAGAGCUCGUAGGCGGUCUGUCGCGUCGGCUGUGAAAACCUGGGGCUUAACUCCGGGCCUGCAGCCGAUACGGGCAGACUAGAGUUCGGCAGGGGAGACUGGAAUUCCUGGUGUAGCGGUGAAAUGCGCAGAUAUCAGGAGGAACACCGGUGGCGAAGGCGGUUCUCUGGGCAUGUCCUGACGCUGAGGAGCGAAAGUGUGGGGAGCGAACAGG